GGGCCAGUAGCUCAGUUGGUUAGAGCACCACCCUUAUAAGGUGGGAGUCGAUGGUUCGAGUCCAUCCUGGCCCA
RNAcentral lists this transfer RNA (74 nucleotides) under Candidatus Magasanikbacteria bacterium RIFCSPHIGHO2_02_FULL_47_14. Its description in RNAcentral is "tRNA-Ile". It matches the Rfam family "tRNA". Rfam says of the family: Transfer RNA (tRNA) molecules are approximately 80 nucleotides in length. The record is from RNAcentral. Lineage: Bacteria; Candidatus Magasanikiibacteriota.